Molecule: ribosomal RNA, 884 nt
Filed under: Streptomyces sp.
Lineage: Bacteria; Bacillati; Actinomycetota; Actinomycetes; Kitasatosporales; Streptomycetaceae
Description: bacterial SSU rRNA
Rfam family: Bacterial small subunit ribosomal RNA
Source: RNAcentral
ACGGGUGAGUAACACGUGGGCAAUCUGCCCUGCACUCUGGGACAAGCCCUGGAAACGGGGUCUAAUACCGGAUACUGACCACUACAGGCAUCUGUGGUGUUCGAAAGCUCCGGCGGUGCAGGAUGAGCCCGCGGCCUAUCAGCUAGUUGGUGAGGUAAUGGCUCACCAAGGCGACGACGGGUAGCCGGCCUGAGAGGGCGACCGGCCACACUGGGACUGAGACACGGCCCAGACUCCUACGGGAGGCAGCAGUGGGGAAUAUUGCACAAUGGGCGAAAGCCUGAUGCAGCGACGCCGCGUGAGGGAUGACGGCCUUCGGGUUGUAAACCUCUUUCAGCAGGGAAGAAGCGAAAGUGACGGUACCUGCAGAAGAAGCGCCGGCUAACUACGUGCCAGCAGCCGCGGUAAUACGUAGGGCGCAAGCGUUGUCCGGAAUUAUUGGGCGUAAAGAGCUCGUAGGCGGCUUGUCACGUCGGUUGUGAAAGCCCGGGGCUUAACCCCGGGUCUGCAGUCGAUACGGGCAGGCUAGAGUUCGGUAGGGGAGAUCGGAAUUCCUGGUGUAGCGGUGAAAUGCGCAGAUAUCAGGAGGAACACCGGUGGCGAAGGCGGAUCUCUGGGCCGAUACUGACGCUGAGGAGCGAAAGCGUGGGGAGCGAACAGGAUUAGAUACCCUGGUAGUCCACGCCGUAAACGGUGGGCACUAGGUGUGGGCAACAUUCCACGUUGUCCGUGCCGCAGCUAACGCAUUAAGUGCCACGCCUGAGGAGUACGGCCGCAAUGCUAAAACUCACAGGAAUUGACGGGAGCCCGCACAAGCGGCGGAGCAUGUGGCUUAAUUCUACGCAGCGCGAAGAACCUUACUAAGGCUUGAUAUACACCGGAAA